CCUCCUGGCCUGGCUGGGCUUCACUCGCUGGAGGCAGAGCAGCGAUGGUGGGUCGGCUGAGCCUGCCCGAGGUGGCCGGGGAGGCUCUUCUGGAGGGCAAGAGGGGGCUGGACAGCCCAGACUCCGGGCUGCCCCCCAGCCCCAGCCCCCCCACCCCAGGCCUGGCCAACGGGCUCCCCGAGAGAGACAGCCCGGCCACCUUCAAGCCUUCUCCUCCUCCUCCUCCUCCUCCUCCUCCUCUGCAGCCUCUUCAGGACGCUUUGCCUUUGGCCGCCUCUCCGCUCCCUGGCUGCACCUCUCGAUUAUGCCCGCUGUCCUUUGGAGAAGGAGUGGAAUUCGACCCGUUGCCACCUAAGGAUAUAAGGUACACCUCUUCGGUGAAAUAUGACUCGGAGAAGCACUUCAUUAACAAUAUUUACAUGCCCAUGGGGCUCGGGGUUUCCGCUUGCAGCCAGACGGUCUUCUGCGUCCCGCAAAGCACAUGGCGCAACUACAAAGCCGAGGUCCACUUCCAGCCGCGCAACAAGGCCGCGAGCUUCACCAGCACCACCAUCAUCUACCCCAAGCACACCACGACCGUCUACACCACCACACUGGAUUACAAUUGCAGGAAGCACAUGCGGAAGUUCUUGUCCAGCGUGGAGUUGGAGUCGUCUGGGAACGAGGACGGUCCCGAGAGUUGCUGAGGCCAGGAUGUUCCUUCGAAGUUUCCCGACGAAAGCUACCUCUCCCGUCCGCCUUAAGGAUCCCAUAGGCCUGCACUUAAAUUUUUGUGGAUGGGAAACUCACGGAAAAUGUCCUUUCCAUCAUUAAAAAAAUGGAGCGCUCUGUAACUUUUUCCCGGUCCUUUUUUCCCCCUCGACAAUAAGGGAAUAUUUUUUCUUUUUCCUAGAAGAAAAGGGACCUGGGCGCACUGCCUCUGAAUGAAAAUAAUGCUUCAAUUGACUCUUUGUGCCGCCUUUGAGGAGCCGAACCCAGCCUGCCCCCGUUGCACUUAAAACCCCAAAGCCAUAAUUUAUUUUCACUCAUCACAGAAGCUCGCUUAUUAUUCCAAAGUCUGUGGCCGGCCACUUGGGGCCGAUCUUUUGAGCUUUUUAUGCCAGCAUUGUUCUGUUCAAAUCCUUUGAAGAAAUCAGUCUGGAUCUGAAGUGUCACCGAAAAGAAUUUUGCAACAAAUCACAAAGAAUACUUCGGCUACUGGUCUCACCAAGUUGGUUAAUUACAAAGGAGUUUUAUUUUUAUUUAAUUCACGGUCAACUCGCUUAAUCGUUUACUCUAGUUUAUUCACUAGGCAUUGCUAUAGCUGGCCUGGAACUUGUAGUAAAUACAAAGAUAAAAACUUUCUUGGGAUCAUCAGGAUUUUUUAAAAUGAAUAUAGUCUGUGCCAUCGAAACACUAUACAGAAUGUAAUAAAACGGAACAUAGUUAUUUAAGGACAAUUAAAAAGAAUUUAAUAAUCAUAUCAGCUUCAAAGAACACACAUCAAAGUCUCGUGCUUUGGCUUUUUUUUUAAAAAAGAAAAGAAACCUAAAUAGAAGCACGAGGAAGAUCUCAUACUAUUUCCUGAGAAUAUUUUGGUAGUAAUGCCAAUUGCGAUUUUGGAUGUGAGCCUAGAACUCAGUUUCAUUUGGCUUUUGCUGCCCGUUGGAAGCACUUGUAGAGGACUUGCUCUUGCAUACGGUAUGCUCCUGGCUCUUUUGUGCAACUUUACAAAGCUGAGGCAAAUUCCUGAGGGCGAAGGAUGGCUCUGGCGGUAGGUUCUGCUGGAUGUAUUCCCCAUAGCGCUUCCUCCUGUUCAGCCUGUAUUUCCACAGCCUCUCCUCUUCAGCAACAGGGUCCUCCAGGAUCCCAUCCCAGCGGAGACUUUCGUUGGUCGCUUCGGAAUCGCCUUGAGUCAAAACCGAAGAGGCCGAAGUGGAGGCAAGGAGGGGGUUUCCUGUUCUUUGCCCUGGAAUGGCUUUCGUGGCAUCAUCUUGUGGCACGCCGGGAUGCUUUCCUGAUCCAAAAGAAGAGUAUCAAAGAGUAAAGCUGAGUGAUUUGGCAGAGAGCAGGGUCAAAAGAUCAGCAACCUAUAAUAACCAGUAUUGGAAACUGCAGCUGACCAGCCAUUUAGUUUGCCAAACUAAUUAAGACUAUUAAUUACCUGUGCUAAGUCUCAGGACCCAGCAAUUGCCAUUGAUACAUUUUCAACAAUAUAAUUGUGUGCAAUCAUGUUGUCAUCCCAUUUUGUGACUCCCUUAUGCCAUCUACUGCUUAUUUUGGGGAAGUGCUGUCCUUAUUUAAAUCAGUUCUAUUCAAAAUAAUACAUGCACGCAACCUGUUAGCUGCGGAACAAGGAAAAGGAAGGAAACAAAUAUUUGUGCAAUCAUGUUAUCUUGCCAUCCUAAGGUAUCUCAAGAUGGGAGGAUAUCUUUAUACCUUUUUGAAGCUAAACCAAUUGUACAAAUGCUAUAUGGCGUUUUGAGCAGCUGGAUACGAUGGUCAAACACGGAAGGUUUAAUCAAGUUCCAUACAAUGAACGAUUUUGUAUUUGUGGAGCAUCAGAGGUGGAGGAUAUCGCACAUGUUUUGUUCAGCUAUGAAUUGUACAAGAAAGAGAGAGACCAAUGCCUCGGGCCAUACAUUAUUCACAAAACACACUGGGACCCACAUAUUAAAAUUUCAUUUUUGUUGGUCGGCCAGAAUCCUAAAAUAACACACAAAACAGCCCUUUUCCUAUUCAAAGCAACACAGCUGAGAAUUGCAUAUCUGGAAUCAAUUGGGGUAAACUGUGGAGGUGAUGCAGAUAUUUGACCUGAACGGGGUCUUGUUAACAGCUUGUUUAUUUUAACUUCUUUUUUUUUACCACGGGUUGUAUGUUGUAUGUAUGUCUAUGUGUUAAAUGUUUUGAUACGGCCGAUGGGCUAAUCAAUAAAACGUGAUUUGAUUUGAUUUGAAAUGCUAUAUGGAGCCCAGCUUGGCCCCUUUUCAAAAUUAUGCCCCACUAGAGCAUGUUCUAACGGCGUUCCAUGCAGUCAUGCCAGCCACAUGACCUUGGAGGUGUCUACAGACAACGCUGGCUCUUCGGCUUAGAAAUGGAGAUGAGCACCAACCCCCAGAGUCGGACACGACUGGACUUAACGUCAGGGGAAACCUUUACCUUUACUAGAGCAUGUUCAAUUCUAAGAUCAGUUCUACAGGCUCCCAGAUGUGUCUCUAAUGCUACACUGUGAUUGUAGACGGGCUUUGUGAAAGUGGAGGUGAGAGUCUGGACAGUCAUUCUCAACUGCUGGCUACAUCUGUCCUUCUCACCAUAUGGUCUUGCCAACCAUGAAAGAUAACUUCCAGUCUGCAUGGACUAAAACAGUGGCAUAAAGAACGCAAUAUUAAGUUUCUGCCAAGGACAACUGCUAAGCAUGGAAUGGGACCGAGCCAAUGAUUAUUAUAUAGUAUAUUAUAUAGUACAGUAUAUUACCGUGAAAGUAUUUUUAUUUGAUUAUGACUCGUUCUUGUGUGUACAGUAGAAUCUCACUUAUCCAAGCUAAACGGGCCGGCAGAACCUUGGAUAAGCAAAUAUCUUGGAUAAUAAGGAGGGAUUAAGGAAAAGCCUAUUAAACAUCAAAUUAGGUUAUGAUUUUACAAAUUAAGCACCAAAACAUCAUGUUGACAGAAAAAGUAGUUCAAUACGCAGUAAUGUUAUGUUGUAAUUACUGUAUUUACGAAUUUAGCACCAAAAUAUCACAAUAUAUUGAAAACAUUUACAAAAGUGCAUUGGAUAAUCCAGAACGUUGGAUAAGCGAGUCUUGGAUAAGUGAGACUCUACAUGUAAUAUAUAAUAUACAAUUAUUAUAGUGUAUUAUUAUUAUACUGUAUUACAUUACAAUAUUAUUAUCAAUAUUAUACGUAUAUACAAUGUAUUA
This is an RNA transcript of Anolis carolinensis (green anole), 3898 nucleotides long. It is a transcript of the gene named refilin B, with no coding region annotated. Lineage: Eukaryota; Metazoa; Chordata; Lepidosauria; Squamata; Anolidae. The transcript is spliced from 4 exons. The record is from RefSeq and is a predicted model, not a curated record.